CGCAAGCCUGACGGAGCAAGACCGCGGGGGGGAUGACGGCCUAAUGGUUGUAAACCGCUUUUCUCUGGGAAGAUGAUGACGGUACCAGAGGAAUCAGCCUCGGCUAACUCCGUGCCAGCAGCCGCGGUAAUACGGAGGAGGCAAGCGUUAUCCGGAAUUAUUGGGCGUAAAGCGUCCGUAGGUGGUUAUUCAAGUCUGCUGUCAAAGCGUGGGGCUUAACUCCAUAGAGGCAGUGGAAACUGGAUGACUUGAGUGCGGUAGGGGUCGAGGGAAUUCCCAGUGUAGCGGUGAAAUGCGUAGAUAUUGGGAAGAACACCAGUGGCGAAAGCGCUCGACUGGGCCUGCACUGACACUGAGGGACGAAAGCUAGGGGAGCG
RNAcentral lists this ribosomal RNA (377 nucleotides) under uncultured cyanobacterium. Its description in RNAcentral is "bacterial SSU rRNA". It matches the Rfam family "Bacterial small subunit ribosomal RNA", at positions 376 to 770 of the family's 1533-position model. Lineage: Bacteria; Bacillati; Cyanobacteriota. The record is from RNAcentral.